RNAcentral lists this ribosomal RNA (460 nucleotides) under uncultured bacterium. RNAcentral describes it as "partial 16S ribosomal RNA". It matches the Rfam family "Bacterial small subunit ribosomal RNA", at positions 338 to 795 of the family's 1533-position model. The record is from RNAcentral.
CCUACGAGAGGCAGCAGUGAGGAAUAUUGGUCAAUGGACGAGAGUCUGAACCAGCCAAGUAGCGUGAAGGAUGACUGCCCUAUGGGUUGUAAACUUCUUUUAUAUGGGAAUAAAAUGUUCCACGUGUGGGAUUUUGUAUGUACCAUAUGAAUAAGGCACGGUUAACUCCGUGCCAGCAGCCGAGGUAAUACGGAGGAUCCGAGCGUUAUCAGGAUUUCUUGGGUUUAAAGGUAGCGUAGGUGGAUUGUUAAGUCAGUUGUGAAAGUUUGCGGCGCAACCGUAAAAUUGCAGUUGAAACUGGCAGUCGUGAGUACAGUAGAGGUGGGCGGAAUUCGUGGUGUAGCGGUGAAAUGCUUAGAUAUCACGAAGAACUCCGAUUGCGAAGGCAGUUCACUGGACUGCAACUGACACUGAGGCUCGAAAGUGUGGGUAUCAAACAGGAUUAGAUACCCUUGUAGUC